CCCUUAGAUGUUCUGGGCAGCACGCGCGCUACAAUGGUCUUCGCAAACGGAUGCAUUCUCGAAGGAGAAUGCCAAUCUUGGAAUCUAUGCCUUGGUCGGGACAGUUGCUUGCAAUUUUUCGACUCGAACCAGGAAUUCCUUGUAAUCGUGAUUCAUCACAUCACGAUGAAUACGUCCCUGCCCUUUGUACACACCGCCCGUCGCUCCUACCGAUCGAAGAGUUAGGUGAAUUGUUUUGAUCGAUAAGAUUUGACGAUGGUCAACUCUCGUUGUGAAAUUCUGUGAAUCUGACUGUUUAGAGGAAGGAAAAGUCGUAACA
RNAcentral lists this ribosomal RNA (319 nucleotides) under uncultured eukaryote. RNAcentral describes it as "partial 18S ribosomal RNA". It matches the Rfam family "Eukaryotic small subunit ribosomal RNA", at positions 1470 to 1796 of the family's 1831-position model. The record is from RNAcentral.